GCGCCCUUAGCUCAGCCGGAUAGAGCACCGGACUUCUAAUCCGACGGUCGCAGGUUCGAAUCCUGCAGGGCGCGC
This 75-nucleotide transfer RNA is filed under the name Planotetraspora phitsanulokensis. RNAcentral's name for it is "tRNA-Arg". It matches the Rfam family "tRNA". From Rfam's summary of the family: Transfer RNA (tRNA) molecules are approximately 80 nucleotides in length. Their secondary structure includes four short double-helical elements and three loops (D, anti-codon, and T loops). Further hydrogen bonds mediate the characteristic L-shaped molecular structure. tRNAs have two regions of fundamental functional importance: the anti-codon, which is responsible for specific mRNA codon recognition, and the 3' end, to which the tRNAs corresponding amino acid is attached (by aminoacyl-tRNA synthetases). tRNAs cope with the degeneracy of the genetic code in two manners: having more than one tRNA (with a specific anti-codon) for a particular amino acid; and 'wobble' base-pairing, i.e. permitting non-standard base-pairing at the 3rd anti-codon position. The record is from RNAcentral. Lineage: Bacteria; Bacillati; Actinomycetota; Actinomycetes; Streptosporangiales; Streptosporangiaceae.